This 81-nucleotide transfer RNA is filed under the name Propionibacteriales bacterium. RNAcentral's name for it is "tRNA-Leu". It matches the Rfam family "tRNA". Rfam says of the family: Transfer RNA (tRNA) molecules are approximately 80 nucleotides in length. Their secondary structure includes four short double-helical elements and three loops (D, anti-codon, and T loops). The record is from RNAcentral. Lineage: Bacteria; Bacillati; Actinomycetota; Actinomycetes; Propionibacteriales.
GCCAGAGUGGUGGAACGGUAGACACGCCGGCUUUAGGUGCCGGUGCCCAAGGGCGUGAGGGUUCGAAUCCCUUCUCUGGUA